CGGGGUAGAGUAACGCGUGAGGAACCUGCCUCAAAGAGGGGGACAACAGUUGGAAACGACUGCUAAUACCGCAUAAGCCCACGGCUCGGCAUCGAGCAGAGGGAAAAGGAGUGAUCCGCUUUGAGAUGGCCUCGCGUCCGAUUAGCUGGUUGGUGAGGUAACGGCCCACCAAGGCGACGAUCGGUAGCCGGACUGAGAGGUUGAACGGCCACAUUGGGACUGAGACACGGCCCAG
This 235-nucleotide ribosomal RNA is filed under the name uncultured bacterium. RNAcentral's name for it is "partial 16S ribosomal RNA". It matches the Rfam family "Bacterial small subunit ribosomal RNA", at positions 104 to 334 of the family's 1533-position model. The record is from RNAcentral.